UCGGGAAUUUUGGGCAAUGGGCGAAAGCCUGACCCAGCAACGCCGCGCGAGGGAUGAAGUAUUUCGGUAUGUAAACCUCGAAAGAAUGGGAAGAAUAAAUGACGGUACCAUUUAUAAGCUCCGGCUAACUACGUGCCAGCAGCCGCGGUAAUACGUAGGGAGCAAGCGUUGUUCGGCUUUACUGGGCGUAAAGGGAGCGUAGGCGGCGCGGUAAGUCACUUGUGAAAUCUCUGAGCUUAACUCAGAACGGCCAAGUGAUACUGCUGUGCUAGAGUGCGGAAGAGACCACCGGGAUUCUUGGUGUAGCGGUGAAAUGCGUAGAGAUCAAGAGGAACGCCGGAGGCGAAGGCGGGUUGCUGGGCCGACACUGACGCUGAUGC
Molecule: ribosomal RNA, 380 nt
Filed under: uncultured bacterium
Lineage: Bacteria
Description: bacterial SSU rRNA
Rfam family: Bacterial small subunit ribosomal RNA
Source: RNAcentral